UGUUUCCCCUUAAACCACUCAAGUGUUGCUUUAGCAGUAUGCUUAGGGUCAUUGGGCCUCAUUCACCAACCGUUCUUACAAGGUAAUGUGUUCUUAAACCCCACUUACGCACUUUUUACGAAGAUUCUGACAUUCACUAAUGUUUUCUCAUUUUGGAUUUGUUCUUAGCUAAGAACAAAAUCCACGCACACUCAAGAGCAUUCUUACGCACAUUUGAGUGAUGACAGUUUGCUCCAAAUAAUUGGUUACUGCAUUUCAUUUAAUUCUACAGUCAUUUACAAUGAUAGUAUUUUACUGUAAUGUAUUUCUGAUCAUCUGUCGAAAAAAAAAUCAUAGUAUGUAAAGAAACACUAACACUGCAAUUUACAUCAGCAAUUAAGCUGAUUAAAUCCUGCAUUAUGUGGUGAUUGAUCACGCUAUUUAUAGGACCAAACUGGGCCUGUUUCUGCACAUCAGGCAUGCUAUCAAAAUGGCACAUCUAUUGCUGCUUGACGACAUUGCCGAGCGUGCUCUGAGAAGGGAACGCAUCUUUGAGGAUCACGUUGAUUUAUUUGCAGAGACUGACGAGUACUUGAUAGGACAGUUUAGGCUUCCAAGACACGUUUUAAUGGAGCUGUGUGAUACUUUGGAGCAAGCGCUGCGAAGCCAUACCCAACGGUCCAAUCCCGUACCACCUCAUGUGCAGGUACUCUCCACCUUGGGAUUUUUAGCCACUGGGACAUUUCAGCGGGAGUUAGCAGACCGGGUGGCAUCCAUCAGCCACGCUCUCCCACGAGUUGUGGAUGGAAUAAAUCAACUGGCCACACAAUAUAUUUUCUUCCCCUACACAGCCCAACAACAGCUGCCGGUCAAGAGAGGGUUGUACUCUAUUGCGGGUCUGCACAACGUAAUCGGGGCAAUAGACUGCACUCACGUGCGCAUUAAGGCAUCCUCACCAGACCCAUUCCCAUACCUCAACCGCAAGCAAUAUCACUCAAUCAAUGUACAAGUCAUCUGCGACUCCGACAACCAUCUCUUGAACGUGGUCUCCCGCUUCCCAGGAGGUGCACAUGACGCUUAUAUUUUGCAGAACAGUUCUGUGGGAAUGCGCCUGGAACAAGGAGCUGCUGGAGACGCAUGGCUCAUUGGCAAGCAUCGUUCAGUCAUUUCAAAUUCCAAUUGUUGGUUUCAAAAAGUGGGUUUCUUCAUUAAUGACUUGUUUCAUUAGGAGAUCGGGGGUAUGCCCUUGCGCCCUGGCUAAUGACGCCACUAACAAACCCUCAGACGCACCAAGAGGCCUCUUAUAACCAGAGGCAGGCACACACCCGCUCCACCAUUGAGCGAACCACUGGUAUUCUGAAGGGACGCUGGAUGUGUUUGGACACAGCAGGUGGUAAGCUGCUUUACAAGCCAGAGAAGGUUUGCAGAAUAAUCAUGGCCUGUUGUGUUACACAACAUCGCUAUGAAGCGUGGUGUUCCACUUCCACUUCAGCCACCACACCAGGAUGUGCGUCCUGACCCAUUGCUGGGACCAGACAACCGACUUGGCGUGGAAGUCAGACAACAAAUCAUUUCUCGAUUUUGAUUUGUUUUGUCCUUUAAAUACCACAAAUUAAACACAUGAAAUGA
Molecule: long non-coding RNA, 1608 nt
Organism: Coregonus clupeaformis (lake whitefish)
Lineage: Eukaryota; Metazoa; Chordata; Actinopteri; Salmoniformes; Salmonidae
Exons: 2
Source: RefSeq, a predicted model, not a curated record